RNAcentral lists this ribosomal RNA (253 nucleotides) under uncultured bacterium. Its description in RNAcentral is "partial 16S ribosomal RNA". It matches the Rfam family "Bacterial small subunit ribosomal RNA", at positions 524 to 776 of the family's 1533-position model. The record is from RNAcentral.
GACGGAGGGGGCAAGCGUUGUCCGGACUCACUGGGCGUAAAGCGUGCGUAGGUGGUGCGAUGCGUCGGCGCUGAAAGCGCCCGGCUUAACCGGGCGACGGGCGACGAUACGAUCGCACUGGAGGCAGGGAGACGUUGGUGGAAUUCCGGGUGUAGUGGUGAAAUGCGUAGAGAUCCGGAGGAAUGCCGGUGGCGUAAGCGGCCAACGAGUCCGGACCUGACACUGAGGCACGAAAGCGUGGGGAGCAAACCGG